CAGCCGCCACGGGAAUACGUAGGUGGCAAGCGUUGUCCGGAAUUAUUGGGCGUAAAGGGCUCGCAGGCGGUUUCUUAAGUCUGAUGUGAAAGCCCCCGGCUCAACCAGGGAGGGUCACUGGAAACUGGGAAACUUGAGUGCAGAAGAGGAGAGUGGAAUUCCGCGUGUAGCGGUGAAAUGCGUAGAGAUGUGGAGGAACACCAGUGGCGAAGGCGACUCUCUGGUCUGUAACUGACGCUGAGGAGCGAAAGCGUGGGGAGCGAACAGGAUUAGAUACCCCAGUAGUCCCUGUCUCUUAUAC
Molecule: ribosomal RNA, 301 nt
Filed under: uncultured bacterium
Lineage: Bacteria
Description: partial 16S ribosomal RNA
Rfam family: Bacterial small subunit ribosomal RNA
Source: RNAcentral